This 440-nucleotide ribosomal RNA is filed under the name uncultured bacterium. Its description in RNAcentral is "partial 16S ribosomal RNA". It matches the Rfam family "Bacterial small subunit ribosomal RNA", at positions 338 to 795 of the family's 1533-position model. The record is from RNAcentral.
CCUACGGGAGGCAGCAGUGGGGAAUAUUGCACAAUGGGGGGAACCCUGAUGCAGCGACGCCGCGUGAGUGAAGAAGUAUUUCGGUAUGUAAAGCUCUAUCAGCAGGGAAGAAAAUGACGGUACCUGACUAAGAAGCCCCGGCUAACUACGUGCCAGCAGCCGCGGUACUACGUAGGGGGCAAGCGUUAUCCGGAUUUACUGGGUGUAAAGGGAGCGCAGACGGCUGUGCAAGUCUGGAGUGAAAGGCGGGGGCCCAACCCCCGGAGUGCUCUGGAAACUGUAAAGCUGGAGUGCAGGAGAGGUAAGCGGAAUUCGGAGUGUAGCGGUGAAAUGCGUAGAUAUUAGGAGGAACACCAGUGGCGAAGGCGGCUUACUGGACUGCAACUGACGUUGAGGCUCGAAAGCGUGGGGAGCGAACAGGAUUAGAUACCCCGGUAGUC